Brassica rapa (field mustard) is the source of this 4387-nucleotide long non-coding RNA. RefSeq lists it as uncharacterized. The record is from RefSeq and is a predicted model, not a curated record. NCBI's taxonomy places the organism in Eukaryota, Viridiplantae, Streptophyta, Magnoliopsida, Brassicales, Brassicaceae.
AGUGUUGAAAGAAGGGAUUUAGAUCCGUAUAAAAGAGGAAGGGGGUACCACGUCAGCAUCACCAUUCAUUUCUCAGCCACAAGUUUAUGUGGCCUCCGAUAUUUUCCUUUUUCCCACCUCUUUAUUAGCGGGUCGGGUUUCCCGGUUUUAAUAAUCAUAAAUAUUACUAAUUCUUAUCUUUUUAUGUCUAUUAUUCGCAUCUUUUUUUUUUUCCUUUUAAUUAAUUAAAAGAGGUUUUGAGCUGAAGCAUCUUUGUAUAUAUAUCUUCAGACUUGAAAUAAGAUGAUGAUGUUAUACGGUUGAACUUUAAACUUCGCUUCUUCUUCUUUUUCCCAGGUUUCUAUCAAGACAUGAUUUUUUUCAACUAAAGUCCUUUUAGAUUAAUAAAGGUAAUAUUGGACUAGUGGUUUAGUGUUUGGAAUUAGUUUUACUGCGCCUCAACUUCAAUUUCUCCUAUUACUAUCUUUAAUCGAUGUGCCCGGCUUGGAGAGAUUAGUCGGAUUCAAGCGAUGUUCCGCAGCCCGUAGCCACUCUCAAGGAGCUGUCCGUAACCCGUAGUCACCCCUGGCCCGGAGCCAGCCUGCGCUAAUACCUUUAAGUGGCGUAAAGCACUCUGUGGCCACAUAGGGUUUAUGGACGAGUCGAACCCAGGAACACGCAGCCAAACGGUAUGACGCUUAACUCAACUGGGUACCACUAGCCCACCACUACGUGGUUAAAUAUGUUCUAUCACUACAUCGAAAUGAAUGAGUCUUUGUGAUGUUUCUCGAUAAAUUAGUUCACUUGUGAUUCUCUUUAGCUACAAAACAUGGAGACUUCACGAAACAAAGAGCUAUUGACAACAUUCAGUUUCUUCAUCAAUUGUUGGUAAUCGGUUUUCAAAGUUUUUUUAUUAUAUAAAUGCCAUAAUUAAAGUAUAUAGUUUUUUUAUAUUUUACUCUAAAUGUUUUAAAUAAUAUAGAGACUCGGUUUGAAAAAUAUAUUACAUUAAAUUUAGAAUUGGUAUGGGUGUAAAAUUUGUUAUGUUAAAUGACAUAUUUAAUUUUAAUGUGAAUAAAGAGACUAAAAUAAAAAUAUCAAUGAAGGUUGUCGAUAUAUUUUUUUUUCAGUUCAAAAAUAAUAUCGACAACUUUUUAUAUUUUUAUUAAGUUACUUAUAACAAAAAAAACUUACAUAUUUAAAACUUGAAAGUGGUCCGUAAUUUAUAAAGUAAAAAGAAAGAAAUAUUAAAAUUGAAAAUAAAUUUGAAAUGCUUUCCAAACUAAUGUUAACUAGGAUCGAACUAGCACGUCCGUGCAUAUAUAUAAUAUAUAUAUAUAUAUAUGUUUUAAAAAAGAUAAUCUUUAAAAUACAAUUAUUUUUUAUUUAUGUAACCAAAUAUUAUUUUUGAAAAUUUUAUAUAUAUUGAAAUUUAUUUUUUCAAAAUUGUACUAAUCAUAUAUUCACCAUUUAUUUUAUUUAUUUAAAAAUGUAACAACAUAUUAAUAAUGUACUUUUAAACAUUGGUUUUAUAUGAAUUAUUACAAAUUUUAAAUUUUUAUUUACAAGGUUUGUAUUCUUGAGAUAGUUUAUGUGACUAAAUUAAAAUAGCUAAUAUUAUAUUUUGAUGAUAUAUUUUAUUUAAUGUAUUAUAUAUUAGUUUUGUGAUUUUUUUUACUAUCAAAUGUGUCCUAUAUUAAAUAUGGUAAAAACAGUAAUUUCAUAAUAUAAAUGUAUUUGGGUUUUACAGAAUUUUUUUUUGUUCAAGAUUUAUAUUUUUUUCUUUUAGGAUAUCAUCUAUGAAUAAAUUUAAGAUAUUUUUUUUAAUUUCUAGUUAGUGGCCUUACAUAAAUUUUUUUAUGGUAGAUAAAAAUUAGGACCCUAAAUUAAUAGAUUAGAUGGAUAGUUCAACUAAUGUUAAUGGAUAGUUUGUUUCUUUUAGGUGGAAAAAUAUAAAGUAAAAAAAUAGGAAAAUGAAAAAUAUAAUGUUACUCUCAUCAAACUUAAAAUAAUAAUAGUAUUUUUUUAGUUUAAACUUUAAACAGUAUCUAGUGUAACUAAGACGAAAUGUAAUUCUUUUUGAUUGGCAAAUUUAUAAGAUAAUUAAGAUUUUUUUUUAUCAGCCAGAUAAUUAAGAUAAUAAAAAAAAUCAUUUUUUGUUCACUCUAACAAUGAUAACCGGUCAAAACCUAAGUUGAAUAUUUUUAGCAUUUCAUUUUCUUAACAUCUAUUUUUUUUUACACCAGCUAUACAUUUUACAUCAAUAGAGAACAUCCUAUGUUCUGUGUUCUUUGUGCAAGUCAAGAUGAACAAAGAAAUCGUAUCUUUCUAGUUUCCAGGUUUCAUCUCAGAUAUGGAGAAAGCUGUCAUUUGGAUUGCUUGGUUUUUGAUAUUUUUUCUUUCCCAGAAUCUAAUAAAAAACAAAGACAAUACAAUUAUGAUCAAAGAGAUAUAAUUGGAUGUGCUCAGUAUACUAUGCAUGAUCAGGAAUCGGACCAGUUAGUUUGUACGUGUGGAUAAGGAAAAGCAAAGGAAGGUUGGAUUCAACGACGUGUCAGUAAAUCAUUGGAUUUCAACAAAAAGGUUCCGUAGGUCGCUGCUACAUUGUACAGUUUAUCAACUUGCGUUUUUGGAGAAUCUAUAUCAAAGUCUACCUUUUGCCACCUCAGAUUUGUGUUGGCCCACGUCAUAUCUGCGCAUAGAUUUCUACAAAAUUGCAUAUCUUUCACUUGGUCGAUCUAAUAACUACCCUCCACGUGUUCCGCUGUGAUCGCAUCCUAACAAGAUUUUUUCUUCUUGUGUCACUCGCUGGUUUUUAAAUGGUAACAAUGGCUAAAACUAGAAACCAAAAAUAUUACUCUAUGUGUUCGAAUGGAGUAACGGGAGAAGUGUUCAUCCCGCACAAUGCAGUUCUCCCGCAAUAAAAUCACUAUUCAUAUUUUUUUGUUUUUAAAAUCAGUUCAAGCGAAAGAUCUGCAUUGAUCUGUUUUUUUCUUUUUUUUGUCUAAUAAAUAAUUUUGUUACAAACAUUUUAACUUAAAAUAUAUUUAUCCAAUUUUAUAAAUAAUGUACAAUGAUUAACUCAAACUAUAUAGUUCACAUUAAUACUAUUUUGUCUUUUUAAAAUUAUAAGCAUGACGUCCAAUCGCUGAUAAAACGCAACAUCUCUUAAGGAAUAAGAUAAAAAUCUUCCUACAUAAAUAUCAGCACAGAUAAGUAGUUAAUAAUUUUUUUAUGUUUUAAAAUAGUUGAUGUAUAGGUAAAUGAUUGAAAUUUUGUAAAUCUAUUGAGAGAAGACAAUUUUAAAUGUACUCUUAACCGAGAACGAAUAUUUACUGAGUUGUAAGAUCAACUAAUUUUCAUGACCAAUUACUGUUUUAAAGAUCCUACACCCACUAGUAAAAAGUUUUGUGGUGAUAAGUUCGACCAAGAAUUUAAUAUUAGCAUAAUCUACCAGUUCUCCAAAAAUAACUUGAUCAACUAGAAUAAAAAUAGAAGAGGUACAAGUAUCUUAUCAAAAUUUCUACAGCCAUUCGGUCGAUUCUACAACAUAUGAGAUAUUUGUUUUCAUAUUUUGGUGUAGUUUUUAUUGUUUUAAUAUAUAUAAUUUGUAGUUUUGAACUGCUUUUUCCAUUUAUAAUUUAUAAUAAAUUACUUUAUCUGCAUUUCUUCUUCAUGAUCCACUUGUUCUGCACUUGUCCCAUUUCAUCUGCACUUGUCUCGCUUGAUCUGCUUGAUCUGCAACGCUUGAACUGUUUUUACCAUUCAUACCCCAUAUGUUCCAAAAUAGUUGAUGUUUUGGGUGUAUGCAAAUCAGUUAAGGUAUACAUUCUUUCAUAAAAAAGUAACACUAAAAAUAUAAACUAAAAGUAAUUCAGCCAAUCCUUAAAAUAAGUAUAAAACAUCAUUGCUCACAUAAUUUUCAGUAAAACUAAGAUUAAUAUAAAAAUACCAAAAUAUCAUUUAUUUUAAAACAUCAAAAACUUUCCAAAACGUCAUCUAUUUUGGAACGGAAGGAGUACCAUGUUAGAUGACAAUCCGCGCCAUGCGCAAGAUGAGUUUUUUUUUAUUUUAAAUAUUGUAUUUUAUUAUUAUAAGCAAUACACAUUUUGUUAUCGAUAACCUAUUUUACAUUUGAUUAGGAGUGUGCAUUUGGGUACCAUUCGGGUUCUAUUUGAGUCUAUUAUGGUUUCAGUUUUUUCGGGCUAAGAUUUUAGUCAUAUUCGUGUAUUGAUAAAUUUUGUUUUGGGUUCGGUUCGGAUUCUUGCGAGUUUGGUUCGGGUUUGGAUAAUUCAUUUAAACUAUUUUUAAAAAAUUAAAAUUUAUUUAUACUUUAAAUUUCUCAAAAUAUAAAAGUAAAAUAAUAUAUAAGAUACAAAUUUGAAUAAUGUAUGCCGAAAUACUUAAA